This is a long non-coding RNA of Vitis vinifera (wine grape), 144 nucleotides long. RefSeq lists it as uncharacterized. NCBI's taxonomy places the organism in Eukaryota, Viridiplantae, Streptophyta, Magnoliopsida, Vitales, Vitaceae. The transcript has 2 exons. The record is from RefSeq and is a predicted model, not a curated record.
GCUUUUCCACUACUCGGGACAGAGCUUUUCAGCAUUAGAGAAUUGAUACCGCUUACCGAAGGUCCCUAUCUUGGUCCAUGGUGAGCAACUUCGGGUCUAGGUACAGAUCCGCAUGUCCAUAAAUCAGGCAAUCGGUAAUAGUAA